Molecule: transfer RNA, 84 nt
Filed under: Planctomycetia bacterium
Lineage: Bacteria; Pseudomonadati; Planctomycetota; Planctomycetia
Description: tRNA-Leu
Rfam family: tRNA
About the family: Transfer RNA (tRNA) molecules are approximately 80 nucleotides in length. Their secondary structure includes four short double-helical elements and three loops (D, anti-codon, and T loops).
Source: RNAcentral
GCGGGUAUGGUGGAAUUGGCAGACACGUCAGAUUUAGGUUCUGAUGAGCGCACGCUCGUGGAGGUUCAAGUCCUCUUACCCGCA